GGGUUGUGAGGUUAAGCGACUAAGCGUACACGGUGGAUGCCCUGGCAGUCAGAGGCGAUGAAGGACGUGCUAAUCUGCGAUAAGCGCCGGUAAGGUGAUAUGAACCGUUAUAACCGGCGAUUUCCGAAUGGGGAAACCCAGUGUGACUCGUCACACUAUCAUUAACUGAAUCCAUAGGUUAAUGAGGCGAACCGGGGGAACUGAAACAUCUAAGUACCCCGAGGAAAAGAAAUCAACCGAGAUUCCCCCAGUAGCGGCGAGCGAACGGGGAGGAGCCCAGAGCCUGAAUCAGCAUGUGUGUUAGUGGAAGCGUCUGGAAAGGCGCGCGAUACAGGGUGACAGCCCCGUACACAAAAGCGCAUGUGUUGUGAGCUCGAUGAGUAGGGCGGGACACGUGGUAUCCUGUCUGAAUAUGGGGGGACCAUCCUCCAAGGCUAAAUACUCCUGACUGACCGAUAGUGAACCAGUACCGUGAGGGAAAGGCGAAAAGAACCCCGGCGAGGGGAGUGAAAAAGAACCUGAAACCGUGUACGUACAAGCAGUGGGAGC
Molecule: ribosomal RNA, 549 nt
Filed under: Salmonella enterica subsp. enterica
Lineage: Bacteria; Pseudomonadati; Pseudomonadota; Gammaproteobacteria; Enterobacterales; Enterobacteriaceae
Description: bacterial LSU rRNA
Rfam family: Bacterial large subunit ribosomal RNA
Source: RNAcentral